Molecule: ribosomal RNA, 524 nt
Filed under: uncultured bacterium
Lineage: Bacteria
Description: partial 16S ribosomal RNA
Rfam family: Bacterial small subunit ribosomal RNA
Source: RNAcentral
GACGAACGCUGGCGGCGUGCCUAAUACAUGCAAGUCGAACGAAGCUGUUUUAACUGGUGCUUGCACCGACUUAAACAACUGAGUGGCGAACGGGUGAGUAACACGUGGGUAACCUGCCCCAAAGCGGGGGAUAACAUUUGGAAACAGAUGCUAAUACCGCAUAACCACAGAAACCACAUGGUUUCUGUGUCGAAGAUGGUUUCGGCUAUCACUUUGGGAUGGACCCGCGGCGUAUUAGCUAGUUGGUAAGGUAAUGGCUUACCAAGGCAAUGAUACGUGGCCGAACUGAGAGGUUGAUCGGCCACAUUGGGACUGAGACACGGCCCAAACUCCUACGGGAGGCAGCAGUAGGGAAUCUUCCACAAUGGACGAAAGUCUGAUGGAGCAACGCCGCGUGAGUGGAGAAGGUUUUCGGAUCGUAAAACUCUGUUGUCAGAGAAGAACGUGUGCGAGAGUAACUGCUCGUGCAGUGGCGGUAUCUGGCCAGAAAGCCACGGCUAACUACGUGCCAGCCGCCGCCGUAA